Molecule: long non-coding RNA, 206 nt
Filed under: Elaeis guineensis (African oil palm)
Lineage: Eukaryota; Viridiplantae; Streptophyta; Magnoliopsida; Arecales; Arecaceae
Description: long non-coding RNA (EGUI_LNC037778)
Source: RNAcentral
ACUCUUGACCUCGGUACCCAUAAUGUGUGGAACUCGUGAUCAGAGAAUCUUGAUUCUCGAUCACUGAGUUCCAAACAUAUAGGAUUCUACAUCAGCCAUCAGAUCAGAUAGGAACCUCUAAUGUGUGUGACCCCGCAGGUUCGAACCUAAGCCGGUAGCACAGGAAUCAAUUCCUAUACUAAUCGAAGUGACCAUCUAGCAAUGGU